UGGGGAAUUGUUCGCAAUGGGCGCAAGCCUGACGACGCAACGCCGCGUGGAGGAUGAAGGUCUUCGGAUUGUAAACUCCUGUUGACCGGGAAGAAUGGACUUCGCUCGAACACAGCGGAGUAAUGACGGUACCGGUUGAGGAAGCCACGGCUAACUCUGUGCCAGCAGCCGCGGUAAUACAGAGGUGGCAAGCGUUGUUCGGAAUUACUGGGCGUAAAGGGCGCGUAGGCGGCCUUCUAAGUCAGACGUGAAAUCCCCAGGCUUAACUUGGGAACUGCGUCUGAUACUGGAGGGCUCGAGUGCGGGAGAGGGAUGUGGAAUUCCAGGUGUAGCGGUGAAAUGCGUAGAUAUCUGGAGGAACACCGGUGGCGAAGGCGGCAUCCUGGACCGACACUGACGCUGAGGCGCGAAAGCUAGGGGAGCAAACGGGAUUAGAUACCCCGGUAGUCCUAGCCCUAAACGAUGAGUGCUUGGUGUGGCGGGUAUCGAUCCCUGCCGUGCCGAAGCUAACGCAUUAAGCACUCCGCCUGGGGAGUACGGUCGCAAGGCUGA
This 552-nucleotide ribosomal RNA is filed under the name uncultured Acidobacteriota bacterium. RNAcentral describes it as "bacterial SSU rRNA". It matches the Rfam family "Bacterial small subunit ribosomal RNA", at positions 355 to 897 of the family's 1533-position model. The record is from RNAcentral. Lineage: Bacteria; Pseudomonadati; Acidobacteriota.